This 496-nucleotide ribosomal RNA is filed under the name uncultured bacterium. RNAcentral describes it as "partial 16S ribosomal RNA". It matches the Rfam family "Bacterial small subunit ribosomal RNA", at positions 355 to 840 of the family's 1533-position model. The record is from RNAcentral.
UGGGGAAUAUUGCACAAUGGGCGCAAGCCUGAUGCAGCCAUGCCGCGUGUGUGAAGAAGGCCUUCGGGUUGUAAAGCACUUUCAGCGAGGAGGAAGGUGGUGAGCUUAAUACGCUCAUCAAUUGACGUUACUCGCAGAAGAAGCACCGGCUAACUCCGUGCCAGCAGCCGCGGUAAUACGGAGGGUGCAAGCGUUAAUCGGAAUUACUGGGCGUAAAGCGCACGCAGGCGGUUUGUUAAGUCAGAUGUGAAAUCCCCGGGCUCAACCUGGGAACUGCAUUUGAAACUGGCAAGCUAGAGUCUCGUAGAGGGGGGUAGAAUUCCAGGUGUAGCGGUGAAAUGCGUAGAGAUCUGGAGGAAUACCGGUGGCGAAGGCGGCCCCCCUGGACGAAGACUGACGCUCAGGUGCGAAAGCGUGGGGAGCAAAACAGGAUUAGAUACCCUGGUAGUCCACGCUGUAAAACGAUGUCGAUUUGGAGGUUGUGCCCUUGAGGCGU